CAUGCGUCUCUUGAUACAGACCUCAGUGACAAAAGGCUGGAGGUGGUUGGUCUGGAGGGAGCCAUGGAAAUGGGCCAGAUCUAUACAGGACUGAAAAGUGCAAGGAAAAGAUUAGCGAAAUGUUCAGAGAUUACUAUAAGAACUACAAAGCCACUUCCAAUGCAGAUUGAUGGAGAGCCUUGGAUGCAGCCGCCAUGUACGAUUACAAUCACUCACAAGAAUCAAGCUCCAAUGCUGCUGGGUCCUCCACCGCGCUCAUCAAGCUUCUUUUCCCUUAAAUAAGCAGGAUCAUUUAUGGAAACCCCAGAAAGUAAAUGAAACACCAAUAAGUCCAUGGAUCACCUGUAAUAUCUUAUCACCACAGCUUGACGCUACAGUCACCAAGCUG
Long non-coding RNA from Pelobates fuscus (common spadefoot toad), 388 nucleotides. RefSeq lists it as uncharacterized. The record is from RefSeq and is a predicted model, not a curated record. The transcript is spliced from 3 exons. NCBI's taxonomy places the organism in Eukaryota, Metazoa, Chordata, Amphibia, Anura, Pelobatidae.